This 242-nucleotide ribosomal RNA is filed under the name uncultured bacterium. Its description in RNAcentral is "partial 16S ribosomal RNA". It matches the Rfam family "Bacterial small subunit ribosomal RNA", at positions 15 to 253 of the family's 1533-position model. The record is from RNAcentral.
GAUCCUGGCUCAGGAUGAACGCUAGCGACAGGCUUAACGCAUGCAAGUCGAGGGGCAGCAUGAGGUAGCAAUACCUUGAUGGCGACCGGCGCACGGGUGAGUAACGCGUAUGCAACCUGCCCGAUACCGGGGUAUAGCCCAUGGAAACGUGGAUUAACACCCCAUAGUACUUUUAUCCUGCCUGGGAUGGGAGUUAAAUGUUCAAGGUAUCGGAUGGGCAUGCGUCCUAUUAGUUAGUUGGG